RNAcentral lists this ribosomal RNA (263 nucleotides) under uncultured Thermoplasmatales archaeon. RNAcentral describes it as "partial 16S ribosomal RNA". It matches the Rfam family "Archaeal small subunit ribosomal RNA", at positions 339 to 604 of the family's 1478-position model. The record is from RNAcentral. Lineage: Archaea; Methanobacteriati; Thermoplasmatota; Thermoplasmata; Thermoplasmatales.
UCGCGAAAACUUCACAAUGGGGGAAACCCCGAUGAGGGAAUUCCAAGUGUCAGCACAUUGUGUUGACUGUUCCCCUGUCUAAAAAACAGGAGAAGUAAGGGCCGGGUAAGACGGGUGCCAGCCGCCGCGGUAAUACCCGCGGCCCGAGUGGUGGUCGAUAUUAUUGAGCCUAAAACGUUCGUAGCCGGUCUUGUAAAUCCUUGGGUAAAUCGGCCAGCUUAACUGUCCGAAGUCCGGGGAGACUGCAAGACUUGGGAUCGGGA